Triticum aestivum (bread wheat) is the source of this 152-nucleotide non-coding RNA. NCBI's taxonomy places the organism in Eukaryota, Viridiplantae, Streptophyta, Magnoliopsida, Poales, Poaceae. The record is from Rfam.
AUAAUACUCCCUCCGUCUCAAAUUUUUUGUUUUAGAUUUGUCUAAAUACAGAUGUAUCAAGUAUAUGGAUAUAUCAAAUCACGUUUUAGUAUUAAAUACAUCCGUAUCUAGGUAAAUCUAAGACAAGAAUUUUGAGACGGAGGGAGUAGUAC